GCCUGACUGCGGGGGGCACACGUGGACGCUGAGCUGUCUAGGUUGCUGGUGCGCGGGCUGGGGAAAUCGGGGAUCGGGUGCAUCCCCGUGCAGUGGUACCGACGAGUCCCAGUUCCUUUUUGUUCACACGUCCUCAGUGGACAGCCCGGGCGAGGCUGGUGGGAUCCAUUUCAUGGAGAAGCAGUGCAGUACGAGCUUCAGAAGCUGAGCGCACUCCUAGGCCCGUUCCAGGCUGAAUGGCCCGUUUUUUCCAACUCCAAAACCUCUGUGGGCCACCAGAGACCUGGACACUCGGUGCUGAGAAUCUGUCGAGGAGGCAGACCCCCCUGAUGGAGGGCAGAGGGUGUUGUGGCCAGUGUUGGAGAGGACAGAGCCCGAGAGAGGCUGGACUAUCAUCCAAGUGGAGCGCAGGAGUUUGGUCACUACCAAGAUGGCACCUGCCUUGGUCACCAAGGGGCUGAGGCAGGUAUAGAGCUCAAAUUUGGAAGUCACCUGGGGAUGUGAGAGGAAAGAGAGUCAGUUGGGCUGGAGCUGGCCCUGCUCAAUCCUGCCCACCCCUACCCAGCCCCAUCCUGUCUCCUGUGUGAAGAUGUACCUGGCUGCAGCUGCCACCUGGUGCUGGUACCUGAGUUAAAGCAGGUAAGCUGACAUUACUGUGUCCCAGGUGGGCCAGAGGCUCUUAGCUGGAUCAAGAGAUCACCUGGAUCAUUUAAUGGCUUCAACUGGGAGACCUUGGCUGUUGGGGGGUGUGUGUGUGCUGGCUGGGCCUCAGUUUGCUCAUCACUAACUGAACAUCAAGUAACGUUGUGUUCUAACCUCCACACACCUGUUUUCCUCACCUGUGGCCUGAGCAGAAGAUGAAGAUUAAUUUCAUUUAGUCCUCAGAGCAACCCGAGACCAAACUUCACCAGUUGACCAGCACAUUCCACACUGCCCCACGCUGCUGUCCCCUCGCUCCCUCUGCUCCAGCCACUCUAGCCUCUCAUUGCUCUUCCUUAAAGGUAAGCAGGCUCCGUCCUGCUUCCCAGCAUCUGCAUGGUCCUCCACCUCUGCUAGGCAUGCUCUUCCUCCAGAUACCCACACGGCUGCCUCCUCUCCCCAUGUGGACACCAUCGCCUCAGAGCAGCAUCCCCCAAACUGGGCCUGCCAUUUCUUGGCUUUGAACUGCCAUUCUCUACUAAAAGGUUGAAGGCUCCUUGGGAAAAUGGCUAAUUUCAAGAUGAGCAGAGUAGAAGAGAAGCCUGGAAUGGGGGAUACUCAAGCAGGAAUGGGGAAUGUCAACAAAAGAUGUGACAUGAAAGCAUUUUUAGCUCACUGGAGAAAAGGAAAAUCCAUGGGACCAUACUGCUAUAAAAGUCAACAAGUAGAAAGUUCUUCCACACAGAGGAAUUACAAUCAGUAAGAGUAGAAGAAAUGAUGGAGUUAGAAAAAUCACUGUUUGAUAAACAUCAUAGUAGUAGCUGUUGGAGGCAAGAAACUUUAAUGGAUAUGAAAAUUAAUGAGUGAAGAGAUGAUGAAAACACUGAUCAUCACCAAGAGACACAGUUAGAAAGAGGGAAAAUGUAGAUACUAACGUUGCAGUGAAGAAAUCUGGCAAACAUGCUCUUGAGCACUGAAGUCAUCAACAAAGGCACACACUGACACUGUGGGCCUCUUUAUGAGGCAGAGGGUGCAACAGCUCUUCCAUGGUAUUCUUGCCAACACUGUAUGACCUCAAUUUAGUCAUAAAAUAUUAGAAAAACCCAAGUGGAGGGACAUUCUACAAACCAGCUGGCUGGUACCAUGGUCUUGAAAAGUACCAUGGUCAUUUAAGACAAAAAAGGACUGAAGAAUGUUCUUGAAUAAAGCAAGACAACCAAUGGAUCCAAUAUGUGAUCCUGGACUUGGUUCUGGAUUAGUCAAAGGGCAUUGAUGGGACAAUGAUGAAAUAGGAAUAAAGUCUGUGGUUUAGAUGUUAUUGUACUGACAGUUUUGUACUGAGAUGUUUUUUAAGUUCCUGUGCUUAUGUAAGUAUCUGGAGAAACCAGGUGAAGGACAUACUUAGAGUGAUUGUUUGUACUGUUUUCCAACUUCUUUGUAAAUCUAAAGUUGCUUGAAAAUGGAAGUUAAACAAAAUUUUAAAGUCAAAUCAAAUCCCUGGCCUUGGACAAUGCCUGAUGUAUUAUAGGCAGGCAAUACAGGGUUUAAUAAAUGUGCACUAAAAGGCAUCUCCUGGGGGAAGGUGC
Molecule: long non-coding RNA, 2225 nt
Organism: Talpa occidentalis (Iberian mole)
Lineage: Eukaryota; Metazoa; Chordata; Mammalia; Eulipotyphla; Talpidae
Exons: 3
Source: RefSeq, a predicted model, not a curated record